UACAGAGGUCCCAAGCGUUGUUCGGAUUCACUGGGCGUAAAGGGUGCGUAGGUGGUGAGGUAAGUCGGAUGUGAAAUCUUCGAGCUCAACUCGGAAACUGCAUUGGAAACUACCUUGCUGGAGGAUUGGAGGGGGGACUGGAAUACUUGGUGUAGCAGUGAAAUGCGUAGAUAUCAAGUAGAACACCAGUGGCGAAGGCGAGUCCCUGGACAAUUCCUGACACUGAGGCACGAAAGCUAGGGGAGCAAACAGG
This 253-nucleotide ribosomal RNA is filed under the name Deltaproteobacteria bacterium. RNAcentral's name for it is "partial 16S ribosomal RNA". It matches the Rfam family "Bacterial small subunit ribosomal RNA", at positions 524 to 776 of the family's 1533-position model. The record is from RNAcentral. Lineage: Bacteria; Pseudomonadati; Myxococcota; Myxococcia.